CUGGCGGCGAGCUAUACAUGCAAGUCGAGCGAACAGAUAAGGAGCUUGCUCCUUUGACGUUAGCGGCGGACGGGUGAGUAACACGUGGGUAACCUACCUAUAAGACUGGGAUAACUUCGGGAAACCGGAGCUAAUACCGGAUAACAUUUGGAACCGCAUGGUUCUAAAGUGAAAGAUGGUUUUGCUAUCACUUAUAGAUGGACCCGCGCCGUAUUAGCUAGUUGGUAAGGUAACGGCUUACCAAGGCAACGAUACGUAGCCGACCUGAGAGGGUGAUCGGCCACACUGGAACUGAGACACGGUCCAGACUCCUACGGGAGGCAGCAGUAGGGAAUCUUCCGCAAUGGGCGAAAGCCUGACGGAGCAACGCCGCGUGAGUGAUGAAGGGUUUCGGCUCGUAAAACUCUGUUAUUAGGGAAGAACAAAUGUGUAAGUAACUGUGCACGUCUUGACGGUACCUAAUCAGAAAGCCACGGCUAACUACGUGCCAGCAGCCGCGGUAAUACGUAGGUGGCAAGCGUUAUCCGGAAUUAUUGGGCGUAAAGCGCGCGUAGGCGGUUUCUUAAGUCUGAUGUGAAAGCCCACGGCUCAACCGUGGAGGGUCAUUGGAAA
This 612-nucleotide ribosomal RNA is filed under the name Staphylococcus saprophyticus. Its description in RNAcentral is "bacterial SSU rRNA". It matches the Rfam family "Bacterial small subunit ribosomal RNA", at positions 36 to 632 of the family's 1533-position model. The record is from RNAcentral. Lineage: Bacteria; Bacillati; Bacillota; Bacilli; Caryophanales; Staphylococcaceae.